UUUUUUUUUUUUUUUUUUUUUUUUUGGCCAUGCCUGCAGCACAUGCAAAUUCCUGGGCCAGGGAUUGACAUAUCAGUGACUGAGCCACAGCAGUGAAAACGCUAGAAACCUGCUAGGCCACCAGGGAACUCCCUGGAAGGCUAGUUUUUAACAUAUUUCCAAUUUAAAAUGUUACCAGCUAAUUUAUCUUAAACAUUGCACAAACUAGAUACCUAUGCAAGCUAAGAUCUGGUCCGUGAGCCACCAGUUUGGUACUCCUGGGCUAUCGUUUCUAUGUCUAUUUGCCUGCUGUUGUCUGUGAGCUCCAGGACCCUAGAACCCUAUAAAAGGAAUACACAUAUUCAUAGAAGGGCAGUUGGAAAAAGAACACAUGCUCAGGAGUUCCUGUCGUGGCUCAGUGGAAAUGAAUCUGACUAGUAUCCAUGAGGAUGCAGGUUCGAUCCCUGGCCUUGCUCAGUGAGUUAAAGAUCCAGUGUUGCCAUGAGCUGUGAUAUAUAGGUCACAGAUGUGGCUACGAUCUGGUGUAGCUGUGGUAUAGGCCAGCAGCUACAACUCAGAUUUGACCCCUAGCCUGGGAACCUCCAUAUGCCACGAGUGUGGCUCUGAAAAAACAAGAAAACAAAAACAAACAAACAUGCUCAAACUUGAAAGAUGAGGGCUAAAAGUAUCACCCAGCAAAUUAGUGCAUGUGAAAUUCAUUCAUUUCUCACUCUCUAUUGCAUACUCCUCAUACAGGCCAGGGACUGUUGUAGCAUGAGGUAAGAAGCAUACAAUAAUGAACAAACCUCAUUUCUGCUGCUCUCCUGAAGUUUAUAUUCUAAUAAGUAAGAGAGUCAAAUGACAAGAUCAUUUCAAGUGGUAGACGUUAUGAGUAAGUUGGUCCUAGCUAAGAAAUAGUACCUGAUGGGGGCAGGGGUGUCAAUAGGACAGGGUGUGGAAGAAGGCCCUUCUGGAGUGAAUUUAGAGAGGGGACCUCAGUGAUGAAGACUGUCACAUAAGGAGAAACACUCCCAAGCAAGGAGGACAGGAAAUGAAAAGACUCAGGAAGAGAUGUGUACAUUUGAGGAAGAGAGGUUGGUUGAUGAAAAAGGCUGGCAAGGAUCAGAUCAUAUACAGGUAGUUAGAGGUUUGUGUUUUAUGUGAAAUGAGAAAACUUUUGAAACUUUAUAUAUUAGAGCAACAUGUGAUUAGUGUUUUAAAUAGAUCGGUAGCUACUGUUUGAAGGAUUGUGGCCAAGAUGUACAGAUAGAAAUGCUACUACACAUGCUAUUGUGAUGUUAGUUGAUAUAGAGGAAAGGAAUUUGAUGACAUGUAAGCAGGCAGGGUAGGAAUUUCCUGUCCUUAGAACUGGGUUAGAACUACUGACUAGAGGUGGCAAAAGCUGGAAGGGUCAGGACAGAAAGAGCCUAAUGUUGAUUUCAUGCUUUAAUUAUGAAAAUCCUGUACUGAUCCUGAUUCAGAUCUAAUCUCAGGUAGCAUUCUGAAACGUGCAUUUUGAAUUAUGUUCAUGGGAAAUAUAGAAUUCAAACUUUUCUUAAGUAGUUGGCUGCUUUCUAUUAUGAAUUGUUUGGAUUGCAGGGGUAAAAACAGAACCCCCUUAUGUCUAACACAUAUACACAAUGCUAUGAGGUAAGGGCCAUUUUGCAGAUAAGAGAUUGUAACUUGCCAGCUCACCUUAGUAGAGGAAUGUUUUGAAUGCAGAGCUGACAUGGUAGCCCAUGUUUCUUUCAUUCCAGAAAUGAACAGGUCAAAGGGUUACAAAGUCGCAGUUCCCAUCGUGGCUCAGUGGUUAAUGAAUCUGACUAGCAUCCAUGAGGACACAGGUUCAAUCGCAGGCCUCGCUCAGUGGGUUAAGGACCCAGCAUUGCCAUGAGCUGUGGAGUAGGUCGCAGACACGAAUUGGAUCUCGCAUUGCUGUGGUUGUGGCGUAGGGCAGCGGCUACAUCUCCGAUUGGACCCCUAGCCUGGGAACCUCCAUAUGCCGCGGGAGCGUCCCUAAAAAGAAAACAAAACAAAGGGUUACAAAGUCAAACUGUGACUUCUAGCUACAGGAGUGCCUACUCUAGGGAACACGAGGGGAUCGAGGCCCCAUAUAAGGGAAAUCUUAGUACUAAGUUAGGCAUUACUAUUACUUUUGAGUAUAACAAAAGUAUUGCAGAUAUGUUUUAUUUAUUUAUUUAUUUAUUGUCUUUUCUGGGGCCACUCCCGCAGCAUAUGGAGGUUCCCAGGGUAGGGGUCUCAUCAGAGCUGUAGCCUCUGGCCUACGAGAGCCACAGCAACUCGGGAUCCAAGCCACGCCCGCAACCUACACCACAGCUCAAGGCAAUGCCAGAUCCUUAACCCACUGAGCAAGGCCAGGGAUCGAACCUGCAACCUCAUGGUUCCUAGUCACUGAGCCACGAUGGGAAUUUCGCAGAUAUGUUUUAAAAGUCCUUACCUUUUGGACUGAAAUACUUAGGGAUGAAAUCAUUUGUGUGGGAUAUUUUUCCAAGAAUGGGUGGUGGAAUGGUCAGUUGGUAGAGAUAUUAUCAAGGUUAGCUGAACUAGAAUUGAUCACGAUUUUGGAGUGGAGAUCUGUACUCACUUGACAUUCCUGUAAUAAAAACCUGAAAAUUAAGUUUUUAAAUAUGGGUUGAGCAGUAUGAGGUUGUCUAGCUCUUGACAAGAACCUACGAAACUGAUUCUGGUGAUUGCACCAGACAGGUGGGAUGAAAGGAAUAAAAGGUAUCAUUGCAGAGCAACCUCUCACAUACAAACCUCACCUCACAUGCAGGUAUAACCUGUGUUAAACAGGGCCUUGACAUCUGACUUUACCUUUCCUCAAUGCUGGUCAGUGCUGAAAAGGAAAGAAACUUCACUACUUAGAGGCAGUUAAAGCUCUUCAGGAAUGUUACAGCUCAAUAGUAUUUAUCAUAAAAGCACAAGUAGAAAGAUCACUCUUUAACUAAUAUUUACCCUUUUGCAAGUUGCUCAAUCAUGCUAGGCCAUGUUAGUUUUUAUAGUUAGAAAUGUAACUGAUUUAAGUAUCAUACCCGAUGUUUUCACAUCCAAGUGAAUCUUGACUCCCUGUGAGGAUUUCUACUCAUUCCAGCCCCACUGCCCGGCCAUUGCUGAACACGUUUGGAGAUCUUCUUGGGCGUUUUCUUCAGAAGAUGUAACUAUUUUUUCUAAAUAUCCUUAGUGGCAAUAAAUCUUCAUCUCUUUGUGAGUGUAUUUGAUAUUUUGCAACAGCAACAAAUCAUUUGGAGCCAAGUCUAGUGGACAAGGUAAGUAAUCAAGAUGGGUAAAAAUUUUAAUGGAAAACUGUCUAGCAAUGAAAUAUUUAUUACGGCCUUUUAAAAUCUCUAAAUUGACUUCCAACAUACUGGGGCAACAACUCUCAAUGUAAUUCAAAAAAUAUUCUUUUUUAGGACUUGUGGCUUUUGCUUCUUUGUGGUCAGAUUUUACUUCAACAACCAGCCAGUUCCAGGGAGCCUCAUCUUGUUACUGAUUUCUCCUUAACCUAGUUAAAAAAAUCAUCAUUGAAUAUUUAAAUUAAAAACUUUAAAGUUCAAUAUCAGCUGUCAUGUUGAAAAAAUUGGUUUGCUCCAGUUAGGGAACAGUACUUAAAGUUGACUCAAAAUAACCUUAUGGUAUCAUUCAUACCCAAAUCAGGUUUUUACUUUGUAUCAUGCUAUAUUAAAAUAUUUAACAUUACAUUGUUGGGUCACUCCCAUCUGCUUUUUCCAUGUAAACAGAAAAGACAACUUCUAUAAUAGCUCCCAAUGCAAGUAAUAAUUAUAGUGUAAUAAUCUCAAACUUCAUAUAAUGGAGUAAAGAACAAGUUUGUCAGAAAAUCAAUACAGCCAUUUUACUAUUAAAAUUCUGUUCUUUAAUAAUUUAUUUAAAUAAGUAUUUGAAGCAGUUUAGAAAAACAAGAUCUGUAUUUUAUUUCCUUGUAAAAAUCUUUACACAUGCAGACAAACCAGUGUUAAGAAAGUAUUCACCAUCAUUUAAACAAAUAACCACUUAAAUAGAACAGUGUCUGCAAUUUUAUGUGUAUAAAAAUAAGAUACAUUUUUACAGAAUUCACACUCCAGUUCUUAUAGCAAUAAACAAUACACAACUAUAAUAAUUACAAUUGAACCUGACCAUGGUUUUUUCAAUUAGAUACUGCUAGGGCAUUUUUAAUGUGCAAAAAAAAAGAAAAAAAAA
This 4194-nucleotide long non-coding RNA is filed under the name Sus scrofa (pig). Its description in RNAcentral is "lncRNA (ENSSSCG00005022190.1)". The record is from RNAcentral. Lineage: Eukaryota; Metazoa; Chordata; Mammalia; Artiodactyla; Suidae.